This 518-nucleotide long non-coding RNA is filed under the name Rattus norvegicus (Norway rat). RNAcentral describes it as "long non-coding RNA NONRATT000757". Lineage: Eukaryota; Metazoa; Chordata; Mammalia; Rodentia; Muridae. The record is from RNAcentral.
CGGUAACAGAUAGGCUGCCCCUCUGCUCACUUUUCUGUUUCACAGACACAAGGUGUUUUUGUCCCAAGAAAGCCUCCUGGCUUAGCUGUGUGACUAAAUGCUAUUUGCCCUCUUCAGUGGACCUCUAUUCUCGAGAUUCCCUUGUUUUCUCACCAUCCCAUUUGAGAUGCUUGUUAGUAACUGUUACAGGUCUUCUUUACCACCAAGGAAAGACAGAAUCCUACUAGAGGCCAGAAAAAGUGUUCCAGAGAUGGAUGGAAGGCCCUCACUUCUGCCUGCUCUCUUCAGACGCCUAAAGGUAGGGAGUGCUCCAGGUCUGCCGCCAGACUCCAAGGGUGGGUCUCUGAGGGGCUGGAAAGUGCCCCACCAAUCUGGCUAAGAUAAGGAAAGGAUAUAAAGAGAAUGUUACAGAAAUUUAAAGGGUUAAGUUGCUGAGAGUUAGUACACGUUACAGAGAAAGAGGUAAAAAAAACAGAAAGCUAGAGAAAAAAAGAGACAAAAAAAAAGAAGAAGUUAGA